UACGUAGGGAGCAAGCGUUGUCCGGAAUCAUUGGGCGUAAAGCGCGCGUAGGUGGCCCUGUAAGUCCGUUGUGAAAGUCAAAGGCUCAACCUUUGAAAGCCGAUGGAUACUGCAGGACUAGAGUACGGAAGAGGCGAGUGGAAUUCCUGGUGUAGCGGUGGAAUGCGCAGAUAUCAGGAGGAACACCAAUAGCGAAGGCAGCUCGCUGGGACGUACUGACACUGAGGCGCGAAAGCGUGGGGAGCGAACAGG
This 252-nucleotide ribosomal RNA is filed under the name uncultured bacterium. RNAcentral's name for it is "partial 16S ribosomal RNA". It matches the Rfam family "Bacterial small subunit ribosomal RNA", at positions 524 to 776 of the family's 1533-position model. The record is from RNAcentral.